GAGGAUCUCGAACCGCUCGUCGGUGGCCCCGGUCAGCAGCGAGGUGCCUAUGUCCUUGCCGGGCCGUAGCUCGGUGGCGCGGAUGCCGGCCUGGAACGAGCCGUCGCCGAGGAAUCCGUCGUUGGAGCGCCAGGACUUGACCGCGAAGCAGGCGUUGAUCUUCACGAGUUCGACGAUCUUCGGUGGGAU
This 189-nucleotide unclassified non-coding RNA is filed under the name plant metagenome. Its description in RNAcentral is "partial contains 5.8S ribosomal RNA, internal transcribed spacer 2, and large subunit ribosomal RNA". The record is from RNAcentral.